This 26-nucleotide non-coding RNA is filed under the name Homo sapiens (human). Lineage: Eukaryota; Metazoa; Chordata; Mammalia; Primates; Hominidae. The record is from RNAcentral.
UGCUGCAACUGCCGAUGCUGCUACUC